CAAGAGAGAGAGGGGGUUUCGGCCCCCCUUCAAGAGAAAAAAAAAAUUCCAAGUCUUUAGACUUUGAUCCAAAAAUCUCUUCCUUCUUGGAUUCUUGAUGAGUUUAAGGCCCUCUACAACGUGGUAUAAUUAGUUUGGCAAGAAAACUCCGUUUGCGGAAAGGGGAAAAUUGAAGAAAAAGGUUUUAGGCGAAACGGAGUUUGAUUUUGGACAAGCGUAAGGAGCGCGAAAGGUACAGAGGUUCGUGAUCUGCCAGUGUAGAACCCACAUUCUGCUAUCACAGAGUGCUCCUUUGAUCCGAAGCCCACGUUUUGGUACAUAUGUUUUUUUGCUACGUAUAUGUUUCUGUACAUUUGACUAUUUGGGUACGGCGGGGCCCUGUCCCGUCAUAUGUCUUCGUUUUGAUUUGUAGAGGCCUGUAGUCAUAUAUGUGGGUCAUGGGUCAUUGUGUGUGUGCGUUUGUUUGUGAUCUGCGUCUUCGUGCGGUCCCGUUUACUAUUAUGGCCAAAACGGCCCAUUUGUCUGUAUACGUUUAUGUAUCUGGCGAUGUAUAUUCCACCAACCUAUCAGAUUUGGAUACGACCAGAAUGGCCUGUAUAUUUGUAUAUGUGCUUAUAAUCGGCGAUAUGUAUUCCGCCGCUCCCUUUG
Lycium barbarum (goji berry) is the source of this 648-nucleotide long non-coding RNA. RefSeq lists it as uncharacterized. Lineage: Eukaryota; Viridiplantae; Streptophyta; Magnoliopsida; Solanales; Solanaceae. The record is from RefSeq and is a predicted model, not a curated record. The transcript is spliced from 3 exons.